This 253-nucleotide ribosomal RNA is filed under the name uncultured bacterium. RNAcentral describes it as "partial 16S ribosomal RNA". It matches the Rfam family "Bacterial small subunit ribosomal RNA", at positions 524 to 776 of the family's 1533-position model. The record is from RNAcentral.
UACGUAGGGUGCAAGCGUUGUCCGGAAUUAUUGGGCGUAAAGAGCUCGUAGGCGGUUUGUCGCGUCGGCUGUGAAAACUCGGGGCUCAACCCCGAGCCUGCAGUCGAUACGGGCAGACUAGAGUGCUGUAGGGGAGACUGGAAUUCCUGGUGUAGCGGUGAAAUGCGCAGAUAUCAGGAGGAACACCGGUGGCGAAGGCGGGUCUCUGGGCCAUAACUGACGCUGAGAAGCGAAAGCAUGGGGAGCGAACAGG